AAAGGUUCUCAUCAUUGUCCUCUCGUUCAACCACUAAACUGUAGUUCAAUUCCUUACAUAUACACGAGACUAUAUUUCAUUGACUACCGCCCUUAAAAUUCCAUUGCAGGAAGCUCGUAGUAGAUUCAGUGUUGAUAUUGAACCUGAAAAUGCUGUGAAUAUCAAUCCUCUAGAUGGACUCCUUAGUCCAGAAGGAUCUACAACGCUUCACUUUAAGAGAUCCUCUCACUCUGCUUCAAUCGGAAGAAUUAAUUGCAAGGUAUGCCUCAUUAAAGUAAAUAGUCCGCUCCUUCAAUGAAAAUAAGCAAAGAAGUGUAGUUAGUAAUAUUAUACAUGUUAGGGGAGGGGGAAAUGUUAGUCGCAUGGAUUGAACCCUGAACCUCCUACAUAUAACUUUUUCGGUGUCCCUUAGCCAAACCACUGAGCUAUUGCUUCGGGGACACGAGCAAAGAAGUGUUAAUUAAUGUCAGAAAUAUCUAUAGCUGCUUUAGCCUUUGUUGAUUCUGAUAUAGGAAGUAGCCUCAGUGAAAAUAUAAACAAUAUUUUCACUCUUUGCAGAUUUACUAUUGCAAGGAAGAUGAGGUUUGUUUAUACCAAUCCUUGCUGUUUGAGGUCCCCUUCCAAGAUGGAGUUUUUAACACUGCCCAAGCAGACGUCACUCUUGCCCAUUUUGUGAAACCCAAAAGUUCGACUAGCAACGUACUGCAGCCUAUUGCCCCAUAGCACGUUGAACCAGGUCUUUUUCAGAAAAUCUUUUUUGUUCUUACCUGGUUACGAAUUAUUUGUUCUUGUAAAACUUAUGGACCAAAUAGGGUUGAUGAUGUUUUUAUGCAUUUGUUGUGAGCAAAUAAUGUAGGCCCUCACACUGCAUGCAAAGCAACUGGAUGCAACAACCUUGUUUGGUAGCUCAAGGAUGAUAUUAAGUUAAGACAGUCAAAUGCAUUUCCCAAAUUAAGCCUCGCUAACAAAUGCAUAGUAUCAGUGCAACAAGGCACAGUGCCAGUCGGGUUAUAUUAUUUCAAAAGGCUUGCUCAGCAGUCAUCAUCUCUAUUAUUUAUUGAGUAUUAAGAAUAAAUCCCAGUGACACAUUUUUGCUGGAAAUGGUCAGCUGAUUCAGAUAUUCCAUUGCAGGAAGCUCGUAGUAGAUUCAGUGUUGAUAUUGAACCUGAAAAUGCUGUGAAUAUCAAUCCUCUAGAUGGACUCCUUAGUCCAGAAGGAUCUACAACGCUUCACUUUAAGAGAUCCUCUCACUCUGCUUCAAUCGGAAGAAUUAAUUGCAAGGUAUGCCUCAUUAAAGUAAAUAGUCCGCUCCUUCAAUGAAAAUAAGCAAAGAAGUGUAGUUAGUAAUAUUAUACAUGUUAGGGGAGGGGGAAAUGUUAGUCGCAUGGAUUGAACGCUGAACCUCCUACAU
This 1411-nucleotide long non-coding RNA is filed under the name Cicer arietinum (chickpea). Its description in RNAcentral is "long non-coding RNA (CARI_LNC000879)". The record is from RNAcentral. Lineage: Eukaryota; Viridiplantae; Streptophyta; Magnoliopsida; Fabales; Fabaceae.